Rhagoletis pomonella (apple maggot) is the source of this 985-nucleotide long non-coding RNA. RefSeq lists it as uncharacterized. The transcript is spliced from 2 exons. Lineage: Eukaryota; Metazoa; Arthropoda; Insecta; Diptera; Tephritidae. The record is from RefSeq and is a predicted model, not a curated record.
GCAAUAAUUUAAAAUAUUUGUGAAACUUAUCGUUUUGCGCUAAAAUACAACAAUGUGUCAUUGUUUCUGUUUUGAACAUCAUAUUCGUGCCUACCGGUGGAAAAAUUAGAGCGACAUACGGAGAAGUAAGAUGAUCAUCGUUCCGGCAAAAUUGUAGUAAACUUGACCGGUCGUUUGAACAAAUGGUUUAUUUUCUUGUACAAGCAGCCGUGGCCCGAGCAGCGCAAAUCGUGGCAGAGAAUUAUAAGUGAUAAGGAAAAUAAUAGUGCGAUAAGAAACUGGAGCUCGGGGAAAACUAUAAUUUACGUCUCUACCCAGCACGUACGCAUGUGUGGGUGCAUUUGCGAUUGUGGCCUAAGCAGCGGCCCGAAAAACCUUACCAAACCUUUUUUUAUGUUACGCUUCAAACUUACGCAGUUCUAGAUAUCCAAUUCCAAUUGUACAUUAACGUUAUGCCACAAUCACGUGCCGCCGCAGCUGCAGCUACUGGCAGAGGCCCACAGGCACUCGUAAAAAUUGGCCACUAUUUACUGGACGCAACACUCGGCACGGGCACAUUUGGUAAAGUAAAGAUUGGCGACCAUCAAAUGACGCACCACAAGGUAGCAGUAAAGAUAUUGGGCCUCAUGCAUAAAAAGUGAGUUUAAGCUCCAACUCGAUUUUCAGUACAAAUUCUUGAGCUUGAGCUCACCCCUUCAUUGCAAAAAUUGAGUCUGAGCUUAGACUCAUUUUUUAUGCAUGAGGCCCAUUAAAUCGCAUAAAUUGGUUGGAAUGGUUGGAAGUAGACCAACAACUUGCUGCCUUCUCGUCAAUUUGGUUACGUUAUGUUGACUACCUCCGGAGGCGUUAUGAAUCUUGAGGAGGCCAGACGGAAACAUUUGGGAGGCAAAAUGCUAGGAUUCUUAUUCUAAGCUGGGCACUGGGUAUUCACACUUUUGUUAGUGUAUUGAAGCUAUUGCAGCUGGCAAGAGCAACAUGUUUAUAU